Long non-coding RNA from Peromyscus maniculatus bairdii (prairie deer mouse), 1805 nucleotides. RefSeq lists it as uncharacterized. Lineage: Eukaryota; Metazoa; Chordata; Mammalia; Rodentia; Cricetidae. The record is from RefSeq and is a predicted model, not a curated record.
AGCAAACAGAGCCAUUCUCUUGAGUGAGACGCAAGGGCAAAGGCCAGCGGCCGUAUUUAAGAGGCCGGCUAUAGGCAGCCCUGGGACAGUGGCGCGGGCUGUGGAUAAGGGCCAGGGCGCGAGCAGAUAAAACCCAGCGGGACCCUCUGCCUUGGGGAGAGGAGUGGGGCUUGCAGUCUGGACACAGAGCCUGUGGCCCCAUUCCCUGAUUUCUUUAAAGUGAUGCUCUGCCCAAGCACAGUUCUGUAGACAGAACUGUGACCGUGAGUGAUUUGUGCUCUGACUGUGGCCAUGGAAAGGCACCCGAUGCAGGCGCUGGCCAAGCAGAAGACACUGAGGUCAUGUGCGGAACAUGUGUGGACAGAUGUCCACAGCCCCGGGCCCGAGCACUCUCUCGCGGCACACAACCCCUUCUGUAAGACAGCAACGAGAGAAAAGUGGCUGCUGUUCUUGCUGUGAACUCGUCCAUGAGUCCAGGUCAGAAGCCAAUUGAAAGGGCAAACCCUCCUGACCGUGCCGAAGACGGUUCUGCACUGGGGGAUAGCGGGGGAUGGCGGGAGGCCAGUGUGGAAGGCACCCCACUCCCCGCACGUGGAUGCCGCUCAGCCAUACCUGCCUGGACACAACGCCCCUCAGAAUGACACACUUCUGCUUCCAGCCCCUGUGUGCAUCUGUCUUGGUCACACAAAUUCUAUCUUUAUCAUCACUAAUCCAGACGGGUUGCUAUGCGGAUUUGUUUGUUUGGUUGAUACCUGGUUUCAGGCAGCCCAGGCUAGCCUCAAACUGGUUGAGGCUGACACUGAAUUCCUGAGCCUCUCUUUGUUGCUGUUUGUUUGUGGUUGUUUUGCUUUUGUUUUUUAGGGUUUUUGUUUGUUUUGCUUUUGUUUUUUAAGAUAGGAUCUCAUUGUACGGCCCCAGGCAGGCCUGGAACUAGCUACAUAGACCGAACUGGCCUUGAGGUUGACCCCUGAUCCUCUUGCCUCCAACUCCCAAGCACUAGAUAACAGGCCUGAGACAUCAUGCCAGGCUUUGCUUUUCCACAUCAUUUUAUGGUCUGCUUCAAUUUACUGAAGGAACAUAGCAUAUUGCAUUAGUCCAAUGAACGAUGCUUCACAUUUCCAGAGUAUGUUCCCGCCUCACCAGAUUCUUUCUUCACAUUCUUCCAUCCUCCCAUUAAUCUGGUGAUAGGCAGCGAGGAUACAACACUGGUCAGGUAUGGGUGGGGGGGUGUGCAUGCCUGUGAUCCCAGCAAUUGGGAAGUGGAGGCAGGAGGAUUAGGAGUUACAGCAGAGACCAGCCUGGGUUAUGUGAGACUCACCUCCAAAAAAAAAAAAAAAGAGCAAAAAACAAAACCAAAACAAAUGAAUCAUGACCGCAGUUUUGAGCAUCCAUCAGCAUUGAGAGCCUCGGGGUUUCAAUAUUAUCUCAGACUCCUAUGGCAGCUCUGAGAGAAUGUGGGUGGCUGGACUAGCUCACUGUUUGGUUAAUUAGACACAAGCUCAGUUUGUCUGGAAAGAGGGAAACUCAGUUGAGAAGAUGCCCCCAUCAGACUGCCCUACAGGCAAGCCUUUGGAGGAUUUUCUUGAUUAAGGAUGGCUGUGGGAGGGCCCAGCCCACUGUGGGUGGUGCCGUCCCUGGGCAGGUGGUCCUGGGUUCUAUAAGAAAGCAGGCCGAGCAAGCCAUGGGGAGCGCCAGUCAGCACUGUUCCUCUGAGCCAGCUCCUGCCUCCAGUAUCCUGCCUGACUUCCCUCAGCAAUGAUGUGACCAGAGAGUUGUAAACUGAAAUAAACUCUUUUCUCUACAAG